GUGGGGAAUUUUGGACAAUGGGCGCAAGCCUGAUCCAGCAAUGCCGCGUGCAGGAAGAAGGCCUUCGGGUUGUAAACUGCUUUUGUACGGAACGAAACGGUCCUGGUUAAUACCCGGGGCUAAUGACGGUACCGUAAGAAUAAGCACCGGCUAACUACGUGCCAGCAGCCGCGGUAAUACGUAGGGUGCAAGCGUUAAUCGGAAUUACUGGGCGUAAAGCGUGCGCAGGCGGUGCUGUAAGACAGGCGUGAAAUACCCGGGCUUAACCUGGGAAUUGCGCUUGUGACUGCAGUGCUGGAGUGCGGCAGAGGGGGAUGGAAUUCCGCGUGUAGCAGUGAAAUGCGUAGAUAUGCGGAGGAACACCGAUGGCGAAGGCAAUCCCCUGGGCCUGCACUGACGCUCAUGCACGAAAGCGUGGGGAGCAAACAGGAUUAGAAACCCGGGUAGUCC
RNAcentral lists this ribosomal RNA (450 nucleotides) under uncultured bacterium. RNAcentral describes it as "partial 16S ribosomal RNA". It matches the Rfam family "Bacterial small subunit ribosomal RNA", at positions 354 to 796 of the family's 1533-position model. The record is from RNAcentral.